Non-coding RNA from Heterocephalus glaber (naked mole-rat), 1476 nucleotides. The record is from RefSeq and is a predicted model, not a curated record. NCBI's taxonomy places the organism in Eukaryota, Metazoa, Chordata, Mammalia, Rodentia, Bathyergidae.
CUCCCCCUCCCAGGGACGUGCUGCCUCAGGCAGCUGGAGGGAUAGCCUGAGCCCCUUGCCGGGGCUGCUGAGGAGAGGAGGCCACUGCUGCCACCUGCUCGCGUCAGUCAACCCAGUCUGCUACCCCAGGCCUGGUGGUGGUGGGUGGGGUGGGACAAGAGGCAGAAUUUGGCUUAUGGAAAAUACCCAGAGGCUCUGGAAGGCAGAUACAAGGAGGUCCAAGGUGAAGGCAAGGCCAGGAGGAGCAGAUGCCAGGUGGGGGAAGAUGUCUGUGACCAGGAGUCGGGCCAGAAGGCUCUUACACCCAUACCUCAAGGUGGAGAGGCUGUGGAUAAAUACAUGCACAUCUGGAGGAGAAUGAGUGACACACAGUAGGUGCUCAACCACAAAGGUAAAAAGCCUGUGAGAGCAUCCAGCUUACUCCGGACAUGCUCAGAAAUACAAGCAAGGAACAUAGCAUGGACCCCAAGGCCAGAGACAUGAUGGAUCCUUGUGGCACCACCUGACUCAGUCCUUGGCUGGAACCAGCUCAGCAUUGCCUCUCUACCAUCGCCAAAAAUAAGUUGUACAUUUAUAUUUAAAUUUAUUUCUAGACUCACUAUUCUGUUCCAUUGAUCUAUGUAUCCAUAUCAAGUAGUUUUAGUCUUCUGAUUUUUAAUUCUUUUUUUUUUUUUUUGGUAACGGGGAUCGAACUCAGGAUCUUGCACUUUUGAGGCAGGCGCGGUACCACUGAGCUAAAUCCCUGGCCCCUGAUUUUUAAUUCUUUUUCAGAGUUAUUUGGCUUUUUCAGGUCUUUAGCAUUUCUGUAUGAAUGUUAGGGUCAACCUGUUGGUUUCUACAAUAAACAUCCUUGCAAUUUAGAUUAGAAUUACAUUGAAUGCAUAGAUAAAUUUGAGGAAAAUUGACAUCUAAACAUCACCAAAUCUUCUAAAUCAUGAAAAAAGUAUAACUCUACAUUGAUUUGUCUUCUUUAAUUCCUUUCUGUAAUUUUUAUGAUUUUCAGUAAAUACAUCUUUUAUAUCUUCUGUCAGAUUUUUUCCCAGUUUUUCAUGGUUUGGGUGCCAUUGUAAAUGUUUUUAUUUUAACUUCUGAUUGCUCAUUGUUAAUAUGUAUUCAUUUCAGUUAAAUUGUUAAAUUACACACCAUAAAGUUGUUCAUAAUAUUUACCUUUUAUUAUUAUAUAUUAUAUUAUCCUUUUAAUGUCUAUAGAACCUGGAGUUUUGCCACUUCUUUUGUUGCUGUAUCUGACCUUUGGUAGGCAUGAAACAGAAUUAUAAAGUUGUUUUAAUGUCAUUGUAUGAUAAUUUUAGCAAAGGUUUCAGUCUCUACCAAUUUAAAUUGAUUUUCCUCAUUAAAUCUCAUUUUCCUGCUUCUUUGAAAUCUUUGAUUGGUUGCUAGAAAUUAUGAAUUUUACCUCACGGGUAUCAGACAUCUUUUAUUCUAUAAAUUAAAUCUCUUUUGAACUUUGUUCUGGAA